Molecule: transfer RNA, 87 nt
Rfam family: tRNA
About the family: Transfer RNA (tRNA) molecules are approximately 80 nucleotides in length. Their secondary structure includes four short double-helical elements and three loops (D, anti-codon, and T loops). Further hydrogen bonds mediate the characteristic L-shaped molecular structure. tRNAs have two regions of fundamental functional importance: the anti-codon, which is responsible for specific mRNA codon recognition, and the 3' end, to which the tRNAs corresponding amino acid is attached (by aminoacyl-tRNA synthetases). tRNAs cope with the degeneracy of the genetic code in two manners: having more than one tRNA (with a specific anti-codon) for a particular amino acid; and 'wobble' base-pairing, i.e. permitting non-standard base-pairing at the 3rd anti-codon position.
Source: Rfam
GGAGACGUGGCCGAGUGGUCGAAGGCGCUCCCCUGCUAAGGGAGUAACGGGGUGACUCGUUCGAGGGUUCGAAUCCCUUCGUCUCCG